RNAcentral lists this ribosomal RNA (442 nucleotides) under uncultured bacterium. RNAcentral describes it as "partial 16S ribosomal RNA". It matches the Rfam family "Bacterial small subunit ribosomal RNA", at positions 338 to 795 of the family's 1533-position model. The record is from RNAcentral.
CCUACGGGAGGCAGCAGUGGGGAAUAUUGUGCAAUGGGCGCAAGCCUGACCCAGCAACGCCGCGUGAAGGAAGAAGGCUUUCGGGUUGUAAACUUCUUUUGUCAGGGAAGAGUAGAAGACGGUACCUGACGAAUAAGCCACGGCUAACUACGUGCCAGCAGCCGCGGUAAUACGUAGGUGGCAAGCGUUGUCCGGAUUUACUGGGUGUAAAGGGCGUGUAGCCGGGUUGACAAGUCAGAUGUGAAAUCCUGCGGCUUAACCGCAGAACUGCAUUUGAAACUGUUGAUCUUGAGUACUGGAGAGGCAGACGGAAUUCCUAGUGUAGCGGUGAAAUGCGUAGAUAUUAGGAGGAACACCAGUGGCGAAGGCGGUCUGCUGGACAGCAACUGACGGGGAGGCGCGAAAGCGUGGGGAGCAAACAGGAUUAGAUACCCCAGUAGUC